Molecule: small nucleolar RNA, 56 nt
Filed under: Arabidopsis thaliana (thale cress)
Lineage: Eukaryota; Viridiplantae; Streptophyta; Magnoliopsida; Brassicales; Brassicaceae
Description: Plant small nucleolar RNA R71
Rfam family: Plant small nucleolar RNA R71
About the family: R71 is a member of the C/D box family of snoRNAs containing the C (UGAUGA) and D (CUGA) box motifs. Multiple nearly identical copies of this snoRNA have been identified in Arabidopsis, and it is thought to function as a 2'-O-ribose methylation guide for 18S ribosomal RNA.
Source: Rfam by way of RNAcentral
AAGCCAUGAUGAGGGCAUUGGUUGGUGUAACCCUUGAAACGCUCCCAUGUUAGGUU